This 1382-nucleotide ribosomal RNA is filed under the name uncultured bacterium. Its description in RNAcentral is "bacterial SSU rRNA". It matches the Rfam family "Bacterial small subunit ribosomal RNA", at positions 18 to 1394 of the family's 1533-position model. The record is from RNAcentral.
CCUGGCUCAGGAUGAACGCUAGCUACAGGCUUAACACAUGCAAGUCGAGGGGCAGCAUGGUCUUAGCUUGCUAAGGCCGAUGGCGACCGGCGCACGGGUGAGUAACACGUAUCCAACCUGCCGUCUACUCUUGGACAGCCUUCUGAAAGGAAGAUUAAUACAAGAUGGCAUCAUGAGUCCGCAUGUUCACAUGAUUAAAGGUAUUCCGGUAGACGAUGGGGAUGCGUUCCAUUAGAUAGUAGGCGGGGUAACGGCCCACCUAGUCUUCGAUGGAUAGGGGUUCUGAGAGGAAGGUCCCCCACAUUGGAACUGAGACACGGUCCAAACUCCUACGGGAGGCAGCAGUGAGGAAUAUUGGUCAAUGGGCGAGAGCCUGAACCAGCCAAGUAGCGUGAAGGAUGACUGCCCUAUGGGUUGUAAACUUCUUUUAUAAAGGAAUAAAGUCGGGUAUGGAUACCCGUUUGCAUGUACUUUAUGAAUAAGGAUCGGCUAACUCCGUGCCAGCAGCCGCGGUAAUACGGAGGAUCCGAGCGUUAUCCGGAUUUAUUGGGUUUAAAGGGAGCGUAGAUGGAUGUUUAAGUCAGUUGUGAAAGUUUGCGGCUCAACCGUAAAAAUUGCAGUUGAUACUGGAUAUCUUGAGUGCAGUUGAGGCAGGCGGAAUUCGUGGUGUAGCGGUGAAAUGCUUAGAUAUCACGAAGAACUCCGAUGCGCAAGGCAGCCUGCUAAGCUGCAACUGACAUUGAGGCUCGAAAGUGUGGGUAUCAAACAGGAUUAGAUACCCUGGUAGUCCACACGGUAAACGAUGAAUACUCGCUGUUUGCGAUAUACUGCAAGCGGCCAAGCGAAAGCGUUAAGUAUUCCACCUGGGGAGUACGCCGGCAACGGUGAAACUCAAAGGAAUUGACGGGGGCCCGCACAAGCGGAGGAACAUGUGGUUUAAUUCGAUGAUACGCGAGGAACCUUACCCGGGCUUAAAUUGCAGAUGAAUUACGGUGAAAGCCGUAAGCCGCAAGGCAUCUGUGAAGGUGCUGCAUGGUUGUCGUCAGCUCGUGCCGUGAGGUGUCGGCUUAAGUGCCAUAACGAGCGCAACCCUUGUUGUCAGUUACUAACAGGUUCCGCUGAGGACUCUGACAAGACUGCCAUCGUAAGAUGUGAGGAAGGUGGGGAUGACGUCAAAUCAGCACGGCCCUUACGUCCGGGGCUACACACGUGUUACAAUGGGGGGUACAGAGGGCCGCUACCACGCGAGUGGAUGCCAAUCCCCAAAACCUCUCUCAGUUCGGACUGGAGUCUGCAACCCGACUCCACGAAGCUGGAUUCGCUAGUAAUCGCGCAUCAGCCACGGCGCGGUGAAUACGUUCCCGGGCCUUGUACACACCGCC